CAGUAGCCACGGGAAUACAGAGGAUGCAAGCGUUGUCCGGAAUUAUUGGGCGUAAAGGGCUCGCAGGCGGUUUCUUAAGUCUGAUGUGAAAGCCCCCGGCUCAACCGGGGAGGGUCAUUGGAAACUGGGAAACUUGAGUGCAGAAGAGGAGAGCGGAAUUCCAUGUGUAGCGGUGAAAUGCGUAGAGAUGUGGAGGAACACCAGUGGCGAAGGCGACUCUCUGGUCUGUAACUGACGCUGAGGAGCGAAAGCGUGGGGAGCGAACAGGAUUAGAUACCCCCGUAGUCCCUGUCUCUUAUAA
This 301-nucleotide ribosomal RNA is filed under the name uncultured bacterium. RNAcentral's name for it is "partial 16S ribosomal RNA". It matches the Rfam family "Bacterial small subunit ribosomal RNA", at positions 509 to 809 of the family's 1533-position model. The record is from RNAcentral.